RNAcentral lists this ribosomal RNA (746 nucleotides) under uncultured Bacilli bacterium. RNAcentral describes it as "bacterial SSU rRNA". It matches the Rfam family "Bacterial small subunit ribosomal RNA", at positions 48 to 775 of the family's 1533-position model. Lineage: Bacteria; Bacillati; Bacillota; Bacilli. The record is from RNAcentral.
CUAAUACAUGCAAGUCGAGCGGACCGACGGGAGCUUGCUCCCUUAGGUCAGCGGCGGACGGGUGAGUAACACGUGGGUAACCUGCCUGUAAGACUGGGAUAACUCCGGGAAACCGGGGCUAAUACCGGAUGCUUGAUUGAACCGCAUGGUUCAAUCAUAAAAGGUGGCUUUCAGCUACCACUUACAGAUGGACCCGCGGCGCAUUAGCUAGUUGGUGAGGUAACGGCUCACCAAGGCGACGAUGCGUAGCCGACCUGAGAGGGUGAUCGGCCACACUGGGACUGAGACACGGCCCAGACUCCUACGGGAGGCAGCAGUAGGGAAUCUUCCGCAAUGGACGAAAGUCUGACGGAGCAACGCCGCGUGAGUGAUGAAGGUUUUCGGAUCGUAAAACUCUGUUGUUAGGGAAGAACAAGUACCGUUCGAAUAGGGCGGCACCUUGACGGUACCUAACCAGAAAGCCACGGCUAACUACGUGCCAGCAGCCGCGGUAAUACGUAGGUGGCAAGCGUUGUCCGGAAUUAUUGGGCGUAAAGCGCGCGCAGGCGGUUUCUUAAGUCUGAUGUGAAAGCCCCCGGCUCAACCGGGGAGGGUCAUUGGAAACUGGGGAACUUGAGUGCAGAAGAGGAGAGUGGAGUUCCACGUGUAGCGGUGAAAUGCGUAGAGAUGUGGAGGAACACCAGUGGCGAAGGCGACUCUCUGGUCUGUAACUGACGCUGAGGCGCGAAAGCGUGGGGAGCGAACAG